Fragaria vesca subsp. vesca is the source of this 1825-nucleotide RNA transcript. RefSeq lists it as uncharacterized. The transcript has 4 exons. NCBI's taxonomy places the organism in Eukaryota, Viridiplantae, Streptophyta, Magnoliopsida, Rosales, Rosaceae. The record is from RefSeq and is a predicted model, not a curated record.
AAACAGAAUGAAACCGAAAGUCAACGAUAAGAAGAAGAAGAAGAGAGAUCAUGAGAUUAAUGAUGAUUCUGAUUCUGUUUCUGGUGGUGAUCCGCAAGCGGUUGUGCGAGACUUGUUGAAGGAGUUUCCGAAUAUUGGGUGCGAUUUGAAGCAGCUUUUGCAAUUGAUCGAUAGCGGCAAAGCGGUCGAUAUAACCGGAAUAGCUCAGAAAUCUCUGAUCAAGCCUCUCAGAGGUCUCUUCCUUUGCUUGCAUCUCAAGGAACUAAAUCACGGAGCUUUCGUGUUGCCUCCACAUGUUCCUCCAACUCUGGAGGUUAUUGGGUCCAUGAUCACGCCUUGUUUAGAUGAUGAUGAUGCUCGACCAACUGAAAGAAGAAGGCCAAUUGGGCCGGAGAUGCCGACGCCGGAGCUACUUGCAGCUGCUGCCAAAUUGAGAGAGGCAGAGGCGGAAUUGAGGGAAGCUCAGUUGGAAGAAAAAGGUAAUCGGGUUUUUAUAGGACCUGCACCGCGUGUUGUAGUGGCUGAAGCUGAAUCAGCUAACCAGGGUGAUCGUUUCGAAGAGGUGACAAGGAUCAUGGAAGCAGAGGAUGAUAGCUUGUAUGACAUAUUGGGAGUAGACCACUAUGUGUCUGCUGAUGACAUCAAGAAAAGGUACUGGAAGUUGUCGCUUUUGGUGCACCCUGAUAAAUGCUCACACCCUCAAGCCAGCCAAGCAUUUGUGAAGCUGAACAAGGCGUUUAAGGAGUUACAGGAUCCGGAGAAGCGGAGAGCGCUGGAUGAGAAGAUUGAGCUCAAAGAGAAGCAGGAGAGAUUCAAAAAGAGAAACAUGGCAGGUGAUGUGAGUGUUGUUAAAUCGGCACCAAGAAGAGAUGAGUGGAUGACAGAGCUCCCACGGGAGAGGAAACAUGGUAUGAGUACAAUGCAAUCGACAAUGUUUAGCAGCAAUGCUAAAGAAGGGCGUGGAGAUACUGGUUGUUGGACUGAUGCUCCAUCUGAAAGAGCUCGGAAGGCUAAGAUGGAUUACUUAAAAGCCUAUAAUGAGUUUCAUCGCUUGCUUCGAAUGAGGAGGAGAGGAAGAGGAGUUUAGAUGCAGAGUUGAUGGACAGAUGCAAUAAAGAGAAACGAUCGAAGUCAUUGUUACAAAAGCACAAAGAGGAGAUUAGAGCGAGCCGUUUGAAGAGGAAGCACUCCAAGCAACAGGUAGAGGAGGAAGACUGGGUGGGGAAACAUCCGUGGAAGCCUUGGGACCGUGAGAAGGAUUUGGCAGGUGGUAGACAAAGUGUGAAACUGGAUUCAGAAGACAUGACUCGAGGUUUGUCAUCAAGGUUUUCUGGAGGAUCAUAUCAAAGGAGCUUUCUCUAGCCAUGAAAUGGCAUGGGCACUCAUUUGAAAGUGGUGGACCACAAAGUUUGGGAUUCCCCUCGAAGGCAGAGGCAUUGAAGCUUUGGAGCUGAGUACUUGUUGGAAUUCCUCCUUCAAGAUUAUUGUAUGAGACAUUAAAAGAUGACAAGAAGUUGAGACUAGUCAAUGACAGUGGGAUUUUUCCAGACAAAUGAUUCAUGGAGAGGUCCAAAUUCUCCAAGUUUUUGAGGUCGGACAGUUGCUCUGGAAUGUUGCCGGAAAAGUUGUUAUUGCUAAGGCUCAAUGUACGAAGAAGCUGCAAUUGACCAAUCUCAGUAGUUAUCAUCACAAUGAAAAAGGUCGAAAGAGAUCAGGCCCAUCUUUGGCCUUUCUGGUGCAGGAAGUUCAAACUUUGAAUCAAACCAUAUACGGUAGACAACACUAACAGCAUAAUGGAUGGUGGUAGGCAGAAGUAACAUCUGAG